RNAcentral lists this ribosomal RNA (303 nucleotides) under uncultured bacterium. RNAcentral describes it as "partial 16S ribosomal RNA". It matches the Rfam family "Bacterial small subunit ribosomal RNA", at positions 507 to 807 of the family's 1533-position model. The record is from RNAcentral.
AGCAGUAGCCACGGGAACACAGAGGGUGCGAGCGUUAAUCGGAUUUACUGGGCGUAAAGCGUGCGUAGGCGGCUUCUUAAGUCGGAUGUGAAAUCCCUGAGCUUAACUUAGGAAUUGCAUUCGAUACUGGGAAGCUAGAGUAUGGGAGAGGAUGGUAGAAUUCCAGGUGUAGCGGUGAAAUGCGUAGAGAUCUGGAGGAAUACCGAUGGCGAAGGCAGCCAUCUGGCCUAAUACUGACGCUGAGGUACGAAAGCAUGGGGAGCAAACAGGAUUAGAUACCCCCGUAGUCCCUGUCUCUUAUAC